This 499-nucleotide ribosomal RNA is filed under the name uncultured bacterium. Its description in RNAcentral is "partial 16S ribosomal RNA". It matches the Rfam family "Bacterial small subunit ribosomal RNA", at positions 28 to 507 of the family's 1533-position model. The record is from RNAcentral.
GACGAACGCUGGCGGCGUGCCUAAUACAUGCAAGUCGAGCGAAGUUUUUCUGUUGCUUGCACCGGAAAAACUUAGCGGCGAACGGGUGAGUAACACGUAAAGAACCUGCCUCAUAGACUGGGACAACUAUUGGAAACGAUAGCUAAUACCGGAUAACAGCAUUAACUGCAUGGUUGAUGUUUAAAAGUUGGUUUUGCUAACACUAUGAGAUGGCUUUGCGGUGCAUUAGCUAGGUGGUGGGGCAAAGGCCUACCAAGGCGACGAUGCAUAGCCGACCUGAGAGGGUGAUCGGCCACACUGGGACUGAGACACGGCCCAGACUCCUACGGGAGGCAGCAGUAGGGAAUCUUCCGCAAUGGGCGAAAGCCUGACGGAGCAACGCCGCGUGAGUGAAGAAGGAUUUCGGUUCGUAAAGCUCUGUUGUUAGGGAAGACUGAUUGUGUAGUAACUAUACACAGUAGAGACGGUACCUAACCAGAAAGCCACGGCUAACUACGUG